Rhinopithecus roxellana (golden snub-nosed monkey) is the source of this 2002-nucleotide long non-coding RNA. RefSeq lists it as uncharacterized. The record is from RefSeq and is a predicted model, not a curated record. Lineage: Eukaryota; Metazoa; Chordata; Mammalia; Primates; Cercopithecidae. The transcript is spliced from 3 exons.
AUCGCCUCAUCCGAUGACUCAGAGAGGAGCAGAUGGCCCGUGGGAGCCUGAGAAGGACUUUUCCCUCCUCAGUGGAGGACAGCACGGCCCCAGGCAUGGGGGCGGCAACGGCGGGGUGGAGGGCUUGCCUGGUUUUCAGCCCAGCACAUACCAGGAUGCACAAGAGGACAAGUCCUCCGGAGAGGAGCUCUCUUCUCAGUCUUCCGGCAACAGUGUGCUCUUUGGGCCUUCUGUUUCUCACACAGUGCAUCUAACAGGUUACUGUCUGCCAGGCUGCCAAACCCCAACCCUCGCCACGUCCGCAGCCACCACAUAAAGUGACUAUUAGAACUUCACACGAAGGACCUGACCCCCGGAAAUGGCCUCAUGCUAGUUUUUUCCUCAACAGUCACCAGGAAAAUGUCGGAAGGCAAAUCAAAACACACACCCUGAAAGACUUAGAACAUAACCAUCCCAUCUGGGGGGACGAGAAGCCCGCCCGGCUUAAUUUAAAAAGGAAACCCAGCAGAUGUCAUCAGUUGGCAGGGAGAUGUCUUGAAGGAAAGAAGGAGGGGAAUGAGAGGGCUGCAGGUCACAGUGCAGUUUUACCUUAACACCUGCAUCUCCUCGGGGGAGCUCUGCAUCUCAUCCUGGAGGCGACGCCAGCGCAGGCAGGCCCUCAGUUCCUGCUGCUCCCGGGCCUCGUAGGGGGUCAGCUGCUCAGACACAGACACACAUGCACAAAACACCGUCACUGUUGUGGUCCCGGUGAAAUGGCUCGCUUGGUUUCAAUGGGGGACAACGUAGCCUGCCCCCUGCUCUCCCCCUGCUUCCAUCAAACCCUAAAGGCCACCGGAGCCUCUUAGUGCCUAAAACAGCAAACCAACCGCGCAGGCUCGCUUGUGCUGCUGGCAGUGGAGCCAGCCUGCUGUUCGGCAGAGGUCACCUGGUUCACGAACCCACCCGUCCCACCAACACACACCUGGUCUGGACAGAGUGGGCUUCCCUUGUGGCCAUUUCCACUUGGAUCUGUCCUCUUUUCCUGCUUUGUCUUUCCGCACAGGAGGGAAGGCCCCACCAUCCCCCUCGGAUGUUCCCUAGCCCUCAAUAUUGCUAAGGACCGUUUCCAGCGGGGCCUGCUAAUGCAACCCAGAUGGUUCUGUGUGCACAUAACUAGAAGUGCUGCCUGGACUCACUCUGGGGGAGGGGAGGCCAUCACACUCUGCCCUACUGAGUCAGAACCAGCUGCCGUCCCUGGUGUGCUCACUGGGCCACAUGGCCUGGACCUCUGUGAGGGAGGGCGGGCAGCAGAGCACCCACCGGGGAGGGAAGACGUCUAUCCACGGUGUUUCUGGAAAUCAAACGUUCCUGAUAAUUCCUUCAGCAGAUAUUUACUGAGUCUCUGCCAGGCCCUGGGGACAACAGAGACAGGGCCUGGGGGAGCAGCCAGGGGAGGGAGCGAUGGCAGGAAAACUAACAUCAGAGAGCGGGUGACGGGAGAGGUGACGGGAGAACCCAGAUGCCCCCUUGCCCAUCAGGGCUUCCUGAGGAGGGGGUGUUGACAGCGCUGGUGCUCAGGGAAGCAGGAGUUGGCCAGGGAGGAGGGAUUUCAGGAAGAGGGGAAAGCACUUGCAAGGCACGUCGGGCCAGGCAAGGAUGUAAUGUGCUUAGAGAAUGGCAAGGCAUACGUCAGACCCAGUGCAGACGACCGUUCUGGGAGGGAGUGAGGCGCAGGGAAGCUGGCCGAGGCCGGAUGAUCCACAGACCCCAUGUGCCUGCUGUUAUGGACUAAACUGCGUCUCUGCAAAAUAUACGUGUUGAAGGCCUUACCCCGGUGUGACUGUAUUUGGAGACAGGGCCUUCAAGGAGGUCAUUAAGGUUAAGCACAGAGGAAAGGCCAUGUGAGAACGCAGAGAAAGAGCAGCUUGUGGCCGUCUGCAAGCAAGGAAGAGUGAGGGACCUCACCAAAAACCAACCCUCUUGGCACCUUGGUCUUGGACUUCCAGCCUCCAGAACCGUGAGA